UUCAUUGAAACUAAAAAGUAGCCAACCAAUCAAUAAGUGAUUGGUCGGAGUGGUAGUACUCAGUCCCCUUAAACAAAGACCCCAUCAAAGGUAACUAGCCAAGUUCUCGGAGAUUAGUCAUGCAGAAAACCGGUGGAUACAUGUAAUAAAAAAACGGUACAAAACCAAAUGAUUAUUCAUUUAACCUUUUUUGUUUUGUUUUCAGUUACCUUCAUGAUACCAAUGAUGGUGCCGCUGUACUCGGGGAAAUUGCGCAAGCCGGUGACGACAUUGGUGGUAUUCAAGAAGGUCUGGCCGUUGGACGCGAGCCACGCAAAGAAGCACAUGACCGGCACGGGCGGCGGGCUUAUAAGGC
Molecule: long non-coding RNA, 355 nt
Filed under: Glycine max (soybean)
Lineage: Eukaryota; Viridiplantae; Streptophyta; Magnoliopsida; Fabales; Fabaceae
Description: long non-coding RNA (GMAX_LNC001250)
Source: RNAcentral